This 253-nucleotide ribosomal RNA is filed under the name uncultured bacterium. RNAcentral describes it as "partial 16S ribosomal RNA". It matches the Rfam family "Bacterial small subunit ribosomal RNA", at positions 524 to 776 of the family's 1533-position model. The record is from RNAcentral.
GACAGAGGGUGCAAACGUUGUUCGGAAUUACUGGGCGUAAAGCGUGCGCAGGCGGUUCGUCGUGUCCGAUGUGAAAGCCCCGGGCUCAACCUGGGAAUGGCAUUGGAAACUGGCGGACUCGAGUGUGGCAGAGGGGGGUGGAAUUCCGCGUGUAGCAGUGAAAUGCGUAGAGAUGCGGAGGAACACCGAUGGCGAAGGCAGCCCCCUGGGCUAACACUGACGCUCAGGCACGAAAGCGUGGGGAGCAAACAGG